ACUUAAAUAGCUUAUUGUAAGAGCGUAAUAUUGAAGAUAUUAAGGAAAUAGAAUAUUUUUAAGUA
This 65-nucleotide transfer RNA is filed under the name Rhipidocerus australasiae. RNAcentral's name for it is "tRNA-Phe". Lineage: Eukaryota; Metazoa; Arthropoda; Insecta; Coleoptera; Cerambycidae. The record is from RNAcentral.